GGGGAAUUAGCUCAGUGGUAGAGCACUUGCCUAGCAAGCGUAAGGCCCUGAGUUCGGUCCUCAGCCCCA
Molecule: transfer RNA, 69 nt
Filed under: Rattus norvegicus (Norway rat)
Lineage: Eukaryota; Metazoa; Chordata; Mammalia; Rodentia; Muridae
Rfam family: tRNA
About the family: Transfer RNA (tRNA) molecules are approximately 80 nucleotides in length. Their secondary structure includes four short double-helical elements and three loops (D, anti-codon, and T loops). Further hydrogen bonds mediate the characteristic L-shaped molecular structure. tRNAs have two regions of fundamental functional importance: the anti-codon, which is responsible for specific mRNA codon recognition, and the 3' end, to which the tRNAs corresponding amino acid is attached (by aminoacyl-tRNA synthetases). tRNAs cope with the degeneracy of the genetic code in two manners: having more than one tRNA (with a specific anti-codon) for a particular amino acid; and 'wobble' base-pairing, i.e. permitting non-standard base-pairing at the 3rd anti-codon position.
Source: Rfam by way of RNAcentral